RNAcentral lists this ribosomal RNA (883 nucleotides) under Faurelina indica. RNAcentral's name for it is "partial 28S ribosomal RNA". It matches the Rfam family "Eukaryotic large subunit ribosomal RNA", at positions 36 to 938 of the family's 3401-position model. The record is from RNAcentral. Lineage: Eukaryota; Fungi; Ascomycota; Sordariomycetes; Microascales; Chadefaudiellaceae.
UAGCAUAUCAAUAAGCGGAGGAAAAGAAACCAACAGGGAUUGCCCUAGUAACGGCGAGUGAAGCGGCAACAGCUCAAAUUUGAAAUCUGGCCUCUUUGGGGUCCGAGUUGUAAUUUGCAGAGGGCGCUUUGGCGUUGGCAGCGGUCCAAGUUCCUUGGAACAGGACGUCACAGAGGGUGAGAAUCCCGUACGUGGUCGCUGGCCUUCGCCGUGUAAAGCCCCUUCGACGAGUCGAGUUGUUUGGGAAUGCAGCUCUAAAUGGGAGGUAAAUUUCUUCUAAAGCUAAAUACUGGCCAGAGACCGAUAGCGCACAAGUAGAGUGAUCGAAAGAUGAAAAGCACUUUGGAAAGAGAGUCAAAAAGCACGUGAAAUUGUUGAAAGGGAAGCGCUUGCAGCCAGACUUGCCUGUAGUUGCUCAUCCGGGUUUUUACCCGGUGCACUCUUCUGCGGGCAGGCCAGCAUCAGUUUGGGCGGUUGGAUAAAGGUCUCUGUCAUGUACCUCUCUUCGGGGAGAUCUUAUAGGGGAGACGACAUGCAACCAGCCCGGACUGAGGUCCGCGCAUCUGCUAGGAUGCUGGCGUAAUGGCUGUAAGCGGCCCGUCUUGAAACACGGACCAAGGAGUCUAACAUCUAUGCGAGUGUUUGGGUGUCAAGCCCGAACGCGUAAUGAAAGUGAACGGAGGUGGGAACCUUUCGGGGUGCACCAUCGACCGAUCCUGAUGUCUUCGGAUGGAUUUGAGUAAGAGCAUAGCUGUUGGGACCCGAAAGAUGGUGAACUAUGCUUGAAUAGGGUGAAGCCAGAGGAAACUCUGGUGGAGGCUCGCAGCGGUUCUGACGUGCAAAUCGAUCGUCAAAUUUGGGCAUAGGGCGAAAGACUAAUCGA